Molecule: non-coding RNA, 117 nt
Filed under: Chlorocebus sabaeus (green monkey)
Lineage: Eukaryota; Metazoa; Chordata; Mammalia; Primates; Cercopithecidae
Source: Rfam by way of RNAcentral
GCCGGGCGUGGUGGCUCACGCCUGUAAUCCCAGCACUUUGGGAGGCCGAGGCGGGUGGAUCACCUGAGGUUGGGAGUUCUCGACCAGCCUGACCAACAUGGAGAAACCCUGUCUCUA